RNAcentral lists this microRNA precursor (78 nucleotides) under Ursus americanus (American black bear). The record is from RNAcentral. Lineage: Eukaryota; Metazoa; Chordata; Mammalia; Carnivora; Ursidae. RNAcentral also lists the same sequence under 2 other names.
UGCUGCAGCUGGUGUUGUGAAUCAGGCCGACGAGCAGCGCAUCCUCUAACCCGGCUAUUUCACCACACCAGGGUUGCA